Molecule: ribosomal RNA, 465 nt
Filed under: Vreelandella stevensii
Lineage: Bacteria; Pseudomonadati; Pseudomonadota; Gammaproteobacteria; Oceanospirillales; Halomonadaceae
Description: partial 16S ribosomal RNA
Rfam family: Bacterial small subunit ribosomal RNA
Source: RNAcentral
CCUACGGGGUGCAGCAGUGGGGAAUAUUGGACAAUGGGCGAAAGCCUGAUCCAGCCAUGCCGCGUGUGUGAAGAAGGCCUUCGGGUUGUAAAGCACUUUCAGUGGGGAAGAAAGCCUUGGGGCUAAUACCCUCGAGGAAGGACAUCACCCACAGAAGAAGCACCGGCUAACUCCGUGCCAGCAGCCGCGGUAAUACGGAGGGUGCGAGCGUUAAUCGGAAUUACUGGGCGUAAAGCGCGCGUAGGCGGUCUGAUAAGCCGGUUGUGAAAGCCCCAGGCUCAACCUGGGAACGGCAUCCGGAACUGUCAGGCUAGAGUGCAGGAGAGGAAGGUAGAAUUCCCGGUGUAGCGGUGAAAUGCGUAGAGAUCGGGAGGAAUACCAGUGGCGAAGGCGGCCUUCUGGACUGACACUGACGCUGAGGUGCGAAAGCGUGGGUAGCAAACAGGAUUAGAUACCCGUGUAGUC